This 277-nucleotide long non-coding RNA is filed under the name Nicotiana benthamiana. RNAcentral describes it as "long non-coding RNA (NBEN_LNC036493)". Lineage: Eukaryota; Viridiplantae; Streptophyta; Magnoliopsida; Solanales; Solanaceae. The record is from RNAcentral.
AUUUCUAUCAUCCUUUCUAAUAUUCUUCUUAAUUUCUUUAAUUAUUUUAGGAUCUUCUAUACUACGUUUUUCUAGUGCGUUCCUAAGUUUUAUGUUCUCUAAUUUCAACGAAUCACAAGAUGAACAAUUAGAAUUUUGAUCAAUUGAAGAAGUUUCAUUCAUCUCCUUAAUUUUAUUUCUAAGAUCAAUAUUGUCAUUUUCCAAAAAUUUAUUUUUCUCUUCUAAAACUUUAAUUUUAGCCUUGUCCUCUUUGGAGAUUUUUGAAGACUUUUUCAAU